Molecule: transfer RNA, 78 nt
Filed under: Methanomicrobia archaeon
Lineage: Archaea; Methanobacteriati; Methanobacteriota; Methanomicrobia
Description: tRNA-Pro
Source: RNAcentral
GGGACCGUGGGGUAGCUUGGCCCAUCCUUUGGGGUUCGGGGCCUCAAGUCUCGCGUUCAAAUCGCGACGGUCCCACCA